UAACACGUGGAUAACCUACCUAUAAGACUGGGAUAACUUCGGUAAACCGGAGCUAAUACCGGAUAAUAUUUUGAACCGCAUGGUUCAAAAGUGAAAGACGGUCUUGCUGUCACUUAUAGAUGGAUCCGCGCUGCAUUAGCUAGUUGGUAAGGUAACGGCUUACCAAGGCAACGAUGCAUAGCCGACCUGAGAGGGUGAUCGGCCACACUGGAACUGAGACACGGUCCAG
This 229-nucleotide ribosomal RNA is filed under the name uncultured Staphylococcus sp. RNAcentral describes it as "partial 16S ribosomal RNA". It matches the Rfam family "Bacterial small subunit ribosomal RNA", at positions 111 to 334 of the family's 1533-position model. Lineage: Bacteria; Bacillati; Bacillota; Bacilli; Caryophanales; Staphylococcaceae. The record is from RNAcentral.